This 26-nucleotide small RNA is filed under the name Bombyx mori (domestic silkworm). RNAcentral's name for it is "ovarian small RNA-21023". The record is from RNAcentral. Lineage: Eukaryota; Metazoa; Arthropoda; Insecta; Lepidoptera; Bombycidae.
UACGAUACUGACGCUGCUGGAUUCUC